GCCUGAAGAUACAGCCAAUUUCAGGACAAUUAUAAGCUGACAAAGCUCUCUGAGAUUCUGGAAGCAGCCUGGAAAUUUCACACACUGCC
This 89-nucleotide long non-coding RNA is filed under the name Falco tinnunculus (common kestrel). RNAcentral describes it as "lncRNA (ENSFTIG00000015654.1)". The record is from RNAcentral. Lineage: Eukaryota; Metazoa; Chordata; Aves; Falconiformes; Falconidae.